Molecule: long non-coding RNA, 8690 nt
Organism: Passer domesticus (house sparrow)
Lineage: Eukaryota; Metazoa; Chordata; Aves; Passeriformes; Passeridae
Exons: 2
Source: RefSeq, a predicted model, not a curated record
CCUCCCACACGGCGCUCGGGCCCGGAGGCCGCCUGAUCUCCCGGGAUUCCCAAACUUUUUUCCCAUUUUUCUGUGAGGAAGCAGGGACCUACAAGCCAGACAUGCGUCUCCCUACAUAUUACCACGUGUUUAUUAGCUGCUCACCAGUGCCAGCGCCUCACCACCACCCUCACAGGAGAGAAUUUCUCCCUGAUGUCUACUCCAAAUACCUCCUUUAAUUUAAAGCCCUUACCCCGAGGCCUUCAUUCCAGCCCUGACCACUCAGGAGCUGAUGACAGCUGAUGAUGAUGGGUGCCUGAAGAUCCCUGCAAGACGUGAGCAUCUCUGGAAAUAGCAGUCUGAGCAUGGAAUGAACUCCAGAACCACAGGCUUGCAUGUGGCACAGAGCACUCCUUGGAGAAUCCUCUGGAGAACAAGGUUUCUGUGGUUUGCAGCAGUCUCCAAAACAAAUUCCAUUGUGAAUGUGACCACAACAUCCAUCCUCUCAACCUGUAACCUUUGGGAUUUUAUCCCCAUCCUGCAGUGUCUCCAUAGCUUUUCUCCCAACCUGCCCCACAGCAGCAUCUCUGAAUACCUGUGAGAGAGGAGAAAACAGCAGUGCAGGUGUUUCACUCCCAUCCCUAUCUACCAAAAUGGUGUGAGGGGCAGGCUUGAAUUGUAUGAAGCACCAAACCAACCCUGUGCAGUGAGGAAUGGUGAAGCUGUCACUCCUGAACAGCACUAGUGUGCCAUGAAUAACUCAGCUGGACUCACAGGGUGCUGGGAUAUGGGUUCAGAAGCAUCUAAAUCAAUUCAAGACUGCUUGUCCCUUAAAUAGAACCAACACUGGAGAAAUUGAACCAUCACAUGUAGAAAUUUUGUUACUUGGGAGGGGAACUUUGCUCCAAACCCUUUUGGUUUUACUCAUUCCACUUAGGAGGAAGAAACCAAAAGUAUUUUUAAUUUCCCUUUCCUCGGCUCCAGGACAGUUUUCCCUAUGCUGUAAGUUGUCAUACCCAGAAAAAUAAAAUCAUCUGCAGGUCUUCAUUUUAUCCCAAUGUAUAAAUUAUUCUUGGAAGGAUGGGAGUGGAGGUGACCACACACUCCUUUUGGGGAUCUCACAGCCAAUCAGUCACUCCCUUGUCCCCCUCUAAAAUGCAGAAUGGUGUUAUUACUGUGCUGUUAGGGCAAUAUUCACUUUGUGUGGAGUCAGAAAGUGCAGUGUGAUUGUUUCUGCCUCCAUAAACAUGGGGAUGUCACAGACAAGGGUUUCUUGGAUGUUUAGGCACAGCCAAACUCCCCUGCUGUGAUGCCAGCUUAGGACUGACUGUAGUUACCAGUGAGAUCCAAGCCCUUGGAGACACACAGAGAUUCAGACACAUUAAACUCUCUUCCAGCUGGAGGAACACCACUGUUGUUCAAUGCAUUUAAUAUUUAUAUAACAGCAGUAUCCAGAUGCCCCAGUUAGUGCAACAGUGAGGUAUUUAAUGUGCAGCUCUCUGCUGGGACUAUUUUGUUGUCUUAGCUACUCCUUUUUACAAAAUAAAGCUGCUCACUGGUCAGCCUCCUCAUUCCUCUCACACCAAAAAGCAGUGGGAGGAAAUUGCUUUCUCUGCCUGUCUGUUUUUUCCCCAUGAAUCUGCUUCUUUUCACAAUUUCCUGCAUCCUGAAAUAACACAGAGACAUCCCACCUCGUCCUUGAUGAGGGAUGGUAAAACUAGAGAAGGAUUUCACACAGGGUAAAGCCAAAUUCUUCUCAACCAGGUGUAUCAGCCCCACAUUCCUGCCAGUACCAGGAGGCCUCCAAGCUCUCUCCAUUCCCAAGUUCAAGUCAAAGGACACCUGGUCACCACCAUGAGGACUUGGAGGAGGAAUCUGUGCUAAAAACAGAUCACAGGAAUGAAUUCCUGCUGUUGCUGAAGCUUCCAUUUGUUACCUUCUCCUUCUUGUUCCUGUAUAAUUUGUGUGUCGUCCCCCCUCCAAAAAAAAGAGAGACUGCUGGUCUGCUUGUUAUAGAGCAGCUGAGAAAUAGAUGUAGAGAAGAAUAUUCUUGGGUGAUCAGAUGACCAUUAGUACAUAAAUGAUGUGUAGUGGCACAGAAAGCCCAUUCAAAGGAUGGGGUUUUAGUCAUGCCACUAAUGCAGAGCAGAGCAAACCACUCGGAGAAUUACAAAAUAAAACGAAAGCAACUCUGGCAAGAGGGACAAGCUACCCAGCACUCGCUGCAGGGGGCAACAGACACCUCUGCACCGAGGCACAGCCUGAGUUUAUUCUGCAUCGUCCUGGGCUUAGAGGACACAGCUGAGCCACACAAAAUAUCUGGCUGGUAUUCCCACUGAGGGAGGCCCAAAGCCAGGAGUCCCUGGCUUUGUGACACCCACCCCAAAUGCUGGGAAUCAGCCCAGGCACCAGCACGGGCUGGGGGCUGACGGGGGGAAAACAGCUCUGCACAGGACUUGGGAGUCCUGGUGGACUCAGGGUUAAACAAAUUUCAAUAUUUUCAUACUUGAACUAAAGUUUUCAUGUCCCUCUUGGUUUUAAUGGUCCUCUUUGUGGACCAGCCAGCAAAUCUGGGCAGAACACAGCAGCAGCAGAGGGAGAAAUGCCAAAGUUCAAGGGGCUGUUCAACAACCAGCAGGAGAGAGCUCAGCAGCCAGCAGAGCCAGACUCAGAAAAUGCAAACCUUACAGGAAUUAAACCAUGUUCUGGUGGAUCUUUACAAAAAGAAACUAACAUAUUUAAAACACAAGGGCUCAUUGCUAAGGCUGCUUCUAGAAGAGAAACAAAACGGUAUGAUAAUUUAGAAAAAGUGUUCAAGGCUAUCAAAAAAGAAAUAGUAAAAAUGAUUGCUUGAAGAUUAGACACACAAAAUACAGAGCUUCUUUUUGCACUUAACAAAAAAGGCGAGUAUUUUAUAUAUGCAGGCCAUACAGCAAUGAAACAUGUUUAAAACCACCACCAUCAAAAAAGAGACAUUGCCAAUAUAAUAGAGAAAAAAUGCUGCCAUCAGGAUGAUUUAAGCAUAAGGAAUCUAUCACCUUGUCCAACAAAAGAUACCUCUCUGCUACAAACCUUCUCCCAAUUUAUAGAGUCAGUACUUUAAUACUUUUUCCCCAGAAAUGAGCCUGAGUUUGACAAAUGGUGCUGCAGCCAUGGGAAAAGUCAUUGUGCAGAAAUUGCUGUCUUCAAGUGUCUGGUUUUAAUCAGGUGGGAAAUAAAAAUAAGGAAGAAGUCUACUUGGAACCUUCUGAGUCUCUGGAUGGGAAGCAUGGAUACACCUCCCAUGGAAACAACUGGAGUUCUAUCCAGCUGUAAAUACCAACAAAUCACCACACAGUCCACAUUCUUCUUUUCUGACAUUUUUAUUUAUCAAAGACAGGACAACUUCUGUAAUUAGAGUGAUGGGAGAGAUCCCAGGAUACUUUCAUAGCUACAGUAAGCUCAACCAAAAGGUACAUUGUGGAUUACAUUCAGGGAUUUGGAACAACACCCUUGUUGUGACUGGUGAACUGAUGUCACUGGCGUCACGAGCACAAGUGAGGGUCCUCAGGAAGAGGAUAUCCCAUUGGCAAUGGACACAACUCUGGCAGGGAUAUGCCAGCAGCUCCUGAAGAAGAAAAGGGAGGAUCUGGCACCCCAUCUGACUGAGAGGGUCCCCAGGUUCCAGAGAUGUCCCAAGGUCUGUCUCCACCAUAGAGCAGAGCAAUGUAAGUAUUUCAAAAUUUGACCUCUCACACCUACAGAUGGAGCAGGUAUUAUUCAUGCUAUAUAAAUACACAUCUACACUGUGCAUUGGCAUUUAUGAAAGAAAGUUCUGCAAGAUUUUACUACACUUAGGUGGAAGCUUGAAGGGUUAAGUUUACAUGUCGCUGUUUUCAACAAAACCCAAAAGCUAACUAGGUGGGGAAGUAACCUACAUGUGCCAUUUCAACUCCUUAGCAUUUUAUAAUUGGUUUUCAGUAUACCAAUAAAUACCCAGUGCAAAGCACAUGCUCACCUAAAGUCCUAAGCAUGGAUAAUGUAUGAGGAAAAUCCAAAAAGAAGCUAUCACAUGUCGUCUACAUGCUCACAGAAAUAUAUAUAUUUAAAAGAAAAAAAGAGAAGUGUUUCUCACUUAUAGUAAUAUUUUGGUUUUGGCUUAAGAAAUGCAGAUGCUUUCUCCCAAAAUAACAGCACUUGACAAGGUUAUAUCAUUGGCUUGUAGGGAAAAAAAAAGGUACAGUGAUGGGAACAAAGUGUUUACAUGACUUGAAACUGAAUAUUUCCAUAUUCAUCACAAAGACUGCAGGAAGGUACACUUAUGAUCCAACACUUCUUGUGUUGAGGGCAAAUCCACUGCUUGGUUUGUGACAAGGAGGAUCCAAAGCAAAACAAAUCAAAACCCACAGAAAUGCCAACCAAAAAUAAUGACAGUUUAUGCGACAGGAAAAAAAUGACGGUUUCCAGCAGAAAAGUGUGGAGAUUCUCAGUGCAUUUGAAGAGAAUUCUCCCAGGCUUCAGCCUGGGAAACUUAGAGAGGAAGAAUAAAAUCAAUUAUUAUCUCUCUUUCUGUUCAUGUUGUUUAUCGAUAUGUACCUUCAGAGUGUGCUAUUCAUAGUUCACCAAGAGUGUGAAAGGUUUCUACUUUGAGACCAAUCAGAUUUCACCUUAGCAAUCCUGGUUAUAAAAGCACGCUACCUCUUCAAUACAGGAUCCUUAAUAAAGGAUCUCUGUUUUUCUCCUUCUAAACCAUGGAGUCAUUUUGUCCAUCCCUGACUCAACAGCGUCAGAAAAGCUGUAGUGUUCCUUCUCCUUCACAUCACCCACUGGAGCUUGCCCAGGUUCUCCACAAGGUAACUUCACAAGAGAUGAUCUUCCCCAUGAGCAGGGGGACAGAUCAAAACACCCUCUAAGUGGUAACAACACACAUCUCCUUCCCAUGAAUGGAGGCAGGAUUUAACAGACAGAACCUUGGGAAACAACUGAAAAUUACACAGGAAUGUUUCUGCCUAUGGACAGGAGCUGAAAAUAUGCUAUAUAGAAAAUUGUUAAUGGUUUUGUGUAACUUCAUCUUGAAAAGACAUCUUACAAAUCAGGAUUAUUACAGGAGCAUCCAUAACAUGGCCAUUACAGAAGCAAUACUGAAGGCUGCUUUGUUAACCCCAGUAAUUGCACUCUCAUUGCACAGGUCGUGUUGGCAGCAAAAGAAUUCAAAAUUAUCCAGCAGGAAGGAAUCAGCAAUUUCAUUCACAUUGCACUGGGAUGACUUCCAGCAGGAGAAAGUUCUCAAUUUACCUAUGGAACAAAAAAGAUUAAACGGAUUAAGAGAAUGUUGACAGUAACACCAUUUUUGGUACGGAGAGAGAAGCAGUGCUUAGACUGCCACUGUUAAAGAAAAAAAAUGUGAGGAGAAGGCAAAGUUCAGUCUGUGACAGGCCCAUGGUGUAAACACAGAAACUGGAUGGAGGCCUUGCGGUCUCUGUUGCCAUAGCAUCAGGGGCAGUGGAGGGAGGCAGAAGCUGCAUGGUCUGGUUCUUUGACUCCACACUUAGAAAUGUUGCACAAAUCCAGCACAAACCUCCUACCAAGAAAUAUUCUGUGCAAAGAGUGGAAGGUCUGACCACAGUCCCACCCACAGCACUCUGCACAGCAGUGGCUAAUAAGAUAUAAAACAUCCCCCAAUUUCGUAGUAAACUCAAAACGAGAAUUUGACAUGAAAUUUCAGGGACAGAUCACUGGGCUUGGCCUCUCACCCUCCCCAGAAGAGACACUUUUUGUAAAGUCUUGUGUCUUGCAGUUCAUGGGCCAUUUGUGCCCUCAGCAUCAGCCCUACAGUUUUGUUUUUGCCACAGCCAUGCACUUCCUUUUUUAAGUUCAAGUGUUUAGAAGUUUCCAAAUUUGCUUUCACUAGCAAUUCAACAGUGUGUAUCCAAUUCACCCACUGGGAAAUACAGGGUGGAGCUUGAGUGAUACCUGGCAUCACCAGCCAGCUCAGCCUGCAUUCACAGAACCAUUUAGGCUGAACAAGACCUCUGACAUCAUCAAGCCCAAUCUUUAACCCAGCACUGCCAAGCCCUCCACUAAUCCAUGUCCCCAGGUGCCACAUCCACAUGGCCCUUAAAUCCCUCCAGGGAUGGGGACUCCAGCACUGCCCUGAGCAGCCUGGGCCAGCACUUGACAAAGCUCUCAGUGAAGAAUGUGCAGAAGACAGAACUGGAAGAGUAGAUAAGGGUGGUAAAACACUGGCACAGAUUGUCCAGAGGGGUGAUGGAUGUCUCAUCCCUGGAAAAACUCAAGGCCAGACUCUGAGCAACCUGAUCUAGUUAAAGAUGUCCAUCCUGAGACACAAAUCACUUCACUCUCAGGAAAAGAGAAUUUAUUUUAAUAGUGUCAAUUCAUAAAUGACUGAGCCAUUCAUCUGCAGCUUUAUUUUGUGAGCUACGCAUCCUUUAUCUGUUAUAAUAGAGUAACAACUUGUAUUUGAAAUUCAAUGCUGUCUUUAUUUUUUUACAGCUCCCUUGUGUAGGUUUUUGUUUGUUUCCUUAUUUUUUAAAUCUGAAUAAACAUGCUUGUACAGCUACAACUCACACAUCUAAAUCAUUAUGUUAUUGCUUGGAUAUAAGCAUGACCUUCAAGAUUAUGUGCAAGUUCCUUUCCAGUGAGGCUGAGAUAUGCAUGCUAGGGCCAGAUGAGAGGUGGCCAGGCAAUGAAAGCUGAUCCAAGUGGGUUUAUUUUAGGUCUGUGGGACACUGUACAUACCAAAUUUCAACUGCAAGCAAGUGUCUUCAGUCGUUAAGCAGGUGCUGUUGGUCCUGCACAGGGUAGGGCUGUUGUCACAGUGGUAACAUCUUAAGGUAUAACCUAAGACAACAAGGGUUUAUCUUCACUGAGUGAUAAACUAAUAAACUACUGAGACAGCAGCAGCAAUAAAAAGGAAAAGAAAAAAAGAAAAAGAAGAAUCACUUAUCUGCAUCUAAUUGUCACGAAACAUAUGCCUGGUUAUUAAGCUCAAGACUUCAGCUAAAAUUGUUAAACUCAAGACUUCAGUUAAAAUUGACAAGCUUAUGUCAGUGCACCAAUUGAGGCUGGCAAUUUUGAUAGGCAUAUCUUGAAGCAUGUAUUUAUGUCACUUUUAAAAACACCAUUAUCUGCCUACAGAACAAGAUAUUAGUUUGCUCCUUUUAUCUGCUCUUGAAGACUGCCUUUUCCAGGCAAUGACAGAUACUUGCAGCUGAGCUUUAUUCUAUCCAUUUUUUAAAUUCUAUCUCCUUUCCCUCUCAUACUACACAUGAGUUUCCAAUUCACACAAGAAGAAUCCCAUUUUCUAGCAGCAAAAUACCAGUUUUCUGUUGUGUUAAGCAGCACCACAUUCUCCCCCCAACUCUCUCUCCUGAGAACCUCCUGUUCUGAUUGUCUUGACCCAAGACAAUCAGAACAGAAACUGAACCCUGCUUGGAUGGUUACUGACAUUCCCCACAGUGGUAUUAAAUAAUCCAGGCCUUUCUCAUCUCGCUGUUUUUACUCCCUCUGGCAUUUUUCCACUAUUUUCUCAGCCUCUGCCAUAACAUUAAACCACAAAGUCCUUCUCUUCUACUCACCAGAGCCACAAAAAUUAAUCAGAACAAUGCAGGCACUCAGCAGGAUGCAGUUCAUCUUGGUCAUGCUUCUUCCCUAAUUUGAGUGCAUAAAGAGAUAUUACAAGUUUAUUUAUUUAAGAGCAAAGUUCCCAGUGAUGAACCAAGGUUUCAAGACUUGUUUCAGUAUAAAAUUGAAAGCACUGUCCAGGAAAAGCAGGGAAACAAAAGAGAGAAAAAUAACUGCACUUUUCAAGGGAGGAUUUUUAUUCUGAGAACAGGAUUUUUAUUCUCAGAACUGACAUUGGAGCCUGACAGACUCAGAUGGGUCUCCUCUCUCCUCUCUGAUUACACCAUUCAACAGGCCUCCCAAUUUCUCACAGCUACAAAUGCACCUAACAAAAAGAAAGGUCUCAAAUGCUUUUUCUCUUUCAGCAAUUCACCAGUAACCCUGGAGCCAGACUGCUCUCCUUUCUCCUCUCUCAUAGGGCUGCAAAAGGUUUGGCUGCUCUGCAGGAGCUUUUGCCCUCUUCUCUCCCAACAUUUCUCCCUCUCACUGAGGGACUGACACAGGCAGUAACUCACCAAGUGCCUGCAGCAGUGGCUCAGGUCUCCAUGGCUGCUGCAAUCCGUAGGCAGCAGUGAGAUGGGAAGGUCAGGAAUUUUUUAAACAUAGGCAGCUCUGAAGCAGGAGUUCUCAGACAGAUUUCUGCACACAGACUCUGCACUACAAUCACAGCUCCGACUGAAAAACCUCUGCUGCUGCACAGUGGGAUAUUCUGAGGAGGCACCAAGCAGACACAGCAGGGAGAAAGGGACCACACUCGUGCUAGGAGGACAUGAUUUAUGUUUGUCUUUAAAGCCCAAGUGGUAUUCAAAGUUCCAAAAUAUUAAAGGUAUUCCUAAAAGCUUUACAUCUGAUAAAACUGUAGUAAAACUGUCACUGCUCUUAAUUCUGCCUGCAGCUCUAAGAUUUUAGCAUGGCAGACCUUAACCAUCUUAGAUAGAGCUUUUUCCUCCCAGGACAGUGAUUGUGGACUUGACAAGAUAGGUUCACAGCAAAAGAGUAUUUAAAUGCAUCUCAACCUUAAGUCUAGUUAAUUUUUCUACUGACAAAACACCCCAAACCUCAUCAAACAAAAAAAAAAAAAAACAAAA